CAAUAGCGUAUAUUAAAGUUGUUGCGGUUAAAAAGCUCGUAGUUGGAUUUCUGCCGAGGACGACCGGUCCGCCCUCCGGGUGAGUAUCUGGUUUGGCCUGGGCAUCUUCUUGGAGAACGUAGCUGCACUUGACUGUGUGGUGCGGUGUCCAGGACUUUUACUUUGAGGAAAUUAGAGUGUUUCAAGCAGGCACACGCCUUGAAUACAUUAGCAUGGAAUAAUAAGAUAGGACCUCGGUUCUAUUUUGUUGGUUUCUAGAGCUGAGGUAAUGAUUAAUAGGGAUAGUUGGGGGCAUUCGUAUUUAACUGUCAGAGGUGAAAUUCUUGGAUUUGUUAAAGACGGACUACAGCGAAAGCAUUUGCCAAGGAUGUUUUCAUUGA
RNAcentral lists this ribosomal RNA (380 nucleotides) under uncultured eukaryote. RNAcentral's name for it is "partial 18S ribosomal RNA". It matches the Rfam family "Eukaryotic small subunit ribosomal RNA", at positions 592 to 976 of the family's 1831-position model. The record is from RNAcentral.